AGCAAUGGUUUGGGUAAAUAUGAAGCAUAUUUUUGACCUGUAGCCUGCAUGGCUGGUUUCUGCGUAAUUCCUACCACCCACCAGAAUAUCUGAAUGCUGAAUAUGGAAAUAGAGCUUUGCAAUAUCUUGACAGUAGAUACUCGGAUAACUGCGUCUUAAAUAUAGUCAGGGAGUUUAGAAAAAUGGAUGGUGAUAUCUCUGACAGUGUGGUCUCUCUGUGUGGUGCUUUAAUUUUAUCUUGCGUUUGAUUCUUUAUUCCUUAUUCCUUGUCUGUUAGUUAUCAGAAAAGAAAUAUGACAGAAACUUAGGAAUUUUUCUGACAGUCUUCUAGGCUUCUAGGUUAAGGUUUCUUGACUGUAAAGCAUGCAAGCAGUACCUUCAUUGAUCAAUUUGUGCCAUAAAAACUUGUAAACAAACUACAAUGCUAUAUACAAGCCUUUAUUUACAGAAAAAAAAAAAAAAGAAGAAGAAUGAAAAAACAAAACAAAACAACAAACACCACAAAAACAAACAAACAAAAAACAACAACGAAGUCUUUUCAGUCUUCUCUCAGCCUAAGGAAGCUGUUUGGCCACACAGUUACUAUGUGCACUGUGAAAGGAUAAAUGGAUAUUUGGAUAAUGCGGCAAAACAUUUUGGAGUCCAUCAGUUACUCUUUCUGAAGAGGUAAGGAAAAUUUCCUUUCAGUAUUAAUUCUGAGAUACACAUAACAUCUAUCAGGUAGAUCCUAACAAGUUAGAAUAACUAGUGAACUUAG
This 757-nucleotide long non-coding RNA is filed under the name Anas platyrhynchos platyrhynchos (common mallard). Its description in RNAcentral is "lncRNA (ENSAPLG00000027704.1)". Lineage: Eukaryota; Metazoa; Chordata; Aves; Anseriformes; Anatidae. The record is from RNAcentral.